RNAcentral lists this transfer RNA (71 nucleotides) under Rhinochimaera africana. Its description in RNAcentral is "tRNA-Ser". It matches the Rfam family "tRNA". From Rfam's summary of the family: Transfer RNA (tRNA) molecules are approximately 80 nucleotides in length. Their secondary structure includes four short double-helical elements and three loops (D, anti-codon, and T loops). Further hydrogen bonds mediate the characteristic L-shaped molecular structure. tRNAs have two regions of fundamental functional importance: the anti-codon, which is responsible for specific mRNA codon recognition, and the 3' end, to which the tRNAs corresponding amino acid is attached (by aminoacyl-tRNA synthetases). tRNAs cope with the degeneracy of the genetic code in two manners: having more than one tRNA (with a specific anti-codon) for a particular amino acid; and 'wobble' base-pairing, i.e. permitting non-standard base-pairing at the 3rd anti-codon position. The record is from RNAcentral. Lineage: Eukaryota; Metazoa; Chordata; Chondrichthyes; Chimaeriformes; Rhinochimaeridae. RNAcentral also lists the same sequence under 1 other name.
AAGAGAGUGACAGAGUGGUUAUGUAUUUAGCUUGAAACUAAAAUAUGGGGGUUCAAUUCCUUCCUUUCUUG